UACGUAGGUGGCAAGCGUUAUCCGGAUUUACUGGGUGUAAAGGGCGUGUAGGCGGCUCCGCAAGUCAGAUGUGAAAUUCCCGGGCUUAACCCGGGCGCUGCAUCUGAAACUGCGGAACUUGAGUACUGGAGAGGAUGGUGGAAUUCCUAGUGUAGCGGUAAAAUGCGUAGAUAUUAGGAGGAACACCAGUGGCGAAGGCGGCUAUCUGGACAGUAACUGACGCUGAGGCGCGAAAGCGUGGGGAGCAAACAGG
This 253-nucleotide ribosomal RNA is filed under the name uncultured bacterium. RNAcentral's name for it is "partial 16S ribosomal RNA". It matches the Rfam family "Bacterial small subunit ribosomal RNA", at positions 524 to 776 of the family's 1533-position model. The record is from RNAcentral.